AUUUACUAAAACAACAUAAUUACAGAUCUGUGCUGCUUUCAGUCUUCUGGCAAUGCACAGUGUUUGACUCAUAACUCUUCAAGUUUUCGAGAAGAAGUGACUAUGGCUGUUCAUUCUUAAAUGGGACAUAUUGAAAGACCUCAGAAGAGGUACUUUCGUAGAAGGAGAACCGCACCCAGGAAUCAGCGAGACUACGAACUUGGAUGCAAAAGCAAAAGGCUUUAUUGAAAACACGGGCUCAGGGAACACUACAGAAGAGGUGGCAGAGUUUAAGAGUGGGAAUAAGGAAGAAUGCUAUGAAGUUCCAUCUUCUGAAUAUGGAAAAUGGAUGGAACUGGAGAUCAUGAUUGAUUAGGACAACAUGAUUGAUUAGGACAACAGACUCAGGAAGAUC
RNAcentral lists this long non-coding RNA (394 nucleotides) under Cricetulus griseus (Chinese hamster). RNAcentral's name for it is "lncRNA (ENSCGRG00015039826.1)". The record is from RNAcentral. Lineage: Eukaryota; Metazoa; Chordata; Mammalia; Rodentia; Cricetidae.